This 253-nucleotide ribosomal RNA is filed under the name uncultured bacterium. Its description in RNAcentral is "partial 16S ribosomal RNA". It matches the Rfam family "Bacterial small subunit ribosomal RNA", at positions 524 to 776 of the family's 1533-position model. The record is from RNAcentral.
UACGAAGGGGGCUAGCGUUGUUCGGAAUCACUGGGCGUAAAGCGCACGUAGGCAGAUCCUUAAGUCAGGGGUGAAAUGCCGAGGCUCAACCUCGGAACUGCCUUUGAUACUGGGGAUCUCGAGUCCGGGAGAGGUGAGUGGAAUUGCGAGUGUAGAGGUGAAAUUCGUAGAUAUUCGCAAGAACACCAGUGGCGAAGGCGGCUCACUGGCCCGGUACUGACGCUGAGGUGCGAAAGCGUGGGGAGCAAACAGG